Molecule: ribosomal RNA, 966 nt
Filed under: uncultured prokaryote
Description: bacterial SSU rRNA
Rfam family: Bacterial small subunit ribosomal RNA
Source: RNAcentral
UAUGCUUAACACAUGCAAGUCGAGCGGUAACAGAGAUAGCUUGCUAUCUGCUGACGAGCGGCGGACGGGUGAGUAAUGCUUGGGAAUAUGCCUUUGAGUGGGGGACAACAGUUGGAAACGACUGCUAAUACCGCAUAACGUCUACGGACCAAAGGGGGGGAUUCUUCGGAACCUCUCGCUCAUAGAUUAGCCCAAGUGAGAUUAGCUAGUUGGUAAGGUAAUGGCUUACCAAGGCGACGAUCUCUAGCUGGUUUGAGAGGAUGAUCAGCCACACUGGGACUGAGACACGGCCCAGACUCCUACGGGAGGCAGCAGUGGGGAAUAUUGCACAAUGGGCGAAAGCCUGAUGCAGCCAUGCCGCGUGUGUGAAGAAGGCCUUCGGGUUGUAAAGCACUUUCAGUUGUGAGGAAAGGGGUGUAGUUAAUAGCUGCAUCCUAUGACGUUAGCAACAGAAGAAGCACCGGCUAACUCCGUGCCAGCAGCCGCGGUAAUACGGAGGGUGCGAGCGUUAAUCGGAAUUACUGGGCGUAAAGCGUGCGUAGGCGGUUUGUUAAGCAAGAUGUGAAAGCCCAGGGCUCAACCUUGGAACUGCAUUUUGAACUGGCAAACUAGAGUACUGUAGAGGGUGGUGGAAUUUCCAGUGUAGCGGUGAAAUGCGUAGAGAUUGGAAGGAACAUCAGUGGCGAAGGCGGCCACCUGGACAGAUACUGACGCUGAGGCACGAAAGCGUGGGGAGCAAACAGGAAUAGAUACCCUGGUAGUCCACGCCGUAAACGAUGUCAACUAGCUGUCUGUGGACUUGAUCCGUGGGUAGCGCAGCUAACGCAUUAAGUUGACCGCCUGGGGAGUACGGCCGCAAGGUUAAAACUCAAAUGAAUUGACGGGGGCCCGCACAAGCGGUGGAGCAUGUGGUUUAAUUCGAUGCAACGCGAAGAACCUUACCAUCCCUUGACAUCCAUGGAAUCA